UCCGCGCGGCGGCUCCUGCUCCUGAGGCAGYCGCCGCCGCCCUCUCCCUCCGGAAACGCAUUCCUCCCGGGCCGCGUCAGCCAAGCCUGAGGCGAGGAGGAGAAGGAGGCUGGGAGACCCGGGCCUAGACAAAGGAGCGGGCCCGGACAAGAGUGGGCCUGGGGAGGCGACGGAGGCCKGGGGAGGGACACUGUGGAAGCCUUGGCUGUGCCUCUGUAGCCUUCUCUGCCAAGGGAGGGAGGUGUUGGGGAGUGACCCACGCUCCGCAGGCCCUUGGUGGAGUUGGGGGCUGGAAAAARAACAUUUAGAAGAAAAGGGAAACACUCAUUAUGAGAUUGACUGGGCACAUUUUGAUUAUAGAGGAUUGAAAUCUGUACCAACCAACAUCAUACUGAAACCUGGUAAUACAGACUAUGUGGCUGGCAAGCUGCCAUCAGCUGUGUGCUUCAUGCCAGGAGAAAGCAGAAAAAUGGAGAGGUCCCAGAUGCUGUUCUGUGAUCUGCUGGUCAGUCAAUGUUGAAGUAAAUGGCUGGAGGUUGGUGGCCAAAAGCCAGUUCACUAAAAAUCCACCCAGUGCAAGUCAAUUUCCUAUAAGGCUGAUUUACUAGAUGUGAAAUACUUAGAAAUAGUUUACUGUUUCUCAUUUCGUCUUAUAAAAUCAUUUAAGGGAUAUUAAAAUAGUCUCUGACCCAGUUCCUUAUUGCUAUAAUUGAAGAAUGAUUUUGAUGAACUGUCCUCAAGAAGUCACCUUAUUUCUUAUUAUGAGAGCUAAUUAUUUCCUAUUGUUAAAACCAAUUGAAUAUUAAAUCCAGGUUGUUUCUUAGUGGUAACUGAAACUGUACCAAUAAAGUACAUGUAGAAUGGGAGAGAGAGGAAAAAGAAAAUUAUUUUGGGGUUGUGGAAGUGAGAAUGCAGUUGAUUUGUUCUUAUUAUUAUGUUCUUUGGGCUUUUCUGUAUUUUCAAAAUUUUUCAUAAUAAACAUAUAUUGUUAUUAUGGGUAAAGUAGAAAGGUAUUAACACCGAGGUUACAUGAUAUAAUUGGUAUAAGUACCAACCCCAGAGAGUUAUUAGAUCAUUGAGAAUUCUCAUCUGGUUCCACUUAGUGACAUGGUAGGUGGGCAAGUGGGCUUCCCAGAGGACAAGGGAGUGGAUUAAUCCUAGAAGAAUGAGCAUGCAGAGGUUAAGUAGGAAGAGGUGAUGGUCAGGACCUCUAGAUCCAUUGUUUUUUUUUGUUGUUGUUGUUGUUGUUUCUGAUUUGAUUGAGGAGAACCAAAGGACCUUCUUCRUAAAAUUUAUUGUUUCUUUCAUGCCUUAUGCUCUGCAAAUAUGUAAUCUUCUUUCAUCAUCACAUGAUUCUUGAAAGCAGAUAUUAUUAUCUCCAUUUUGAAGAGAUAUUGAGAUAGAGAUUUAGGAUUAAGAGAGAGAAAUACCAGAUCUUAAAGGAAGCACUCACAAGCCAUUGAGAUGUAGAAGGCACAGUUGUAAAUCUUGAGCAACGCGCCCUUGGCCUGUGCCCUUAGCCCAUGCCCUUGCAAAAUGAGGGAAAUAAGCAAGGGCAAGGAAAACCUGUGUGAAAUUGUGUAGCUCCACCUGGAUCCACCUCCAGUCCAGUUCCUGAUAUAGUCCUUUUAUAAAUAUUGGACCCUCAUCCCAAGGCAGGGCUGCUUCUCACUCUGGAAACAGUCUGCCUUCUCCCUUGAAUGUAUCUGCCGUCCUCAAAGUCUAWGCCUUUGUCUGGCUCAGGCUGAAAUUCUUUUCUGUUUUAUAUGCAAAGAAUUCCACUGGACUUGAUUUGAAUACCUCUUUCUUCUGGGAACUCCUAAGACGCUUCUCUGGAGAUAUCUCUUCUGUCAUAUAACAGUAGAAACUUAAAGUCAAAAUUACACAUAGUUAACAGACUGAAACUGUGUGAGUUUAAUGCAAGUCUGACAUUAAACAUUAUGUUCAGUUAUCCUCAUAGAUGAACCUAUUAGGAGUGAAAAAUCAUAUAUCAGGUAGAACUAAAAACAGACAAAAAACUGUUGUGGUGUAAGUGACAAAAAUCAACUCAAAGCACUUAAAUAAAAAAUGGAAAUUUAUUGUCUUAACAUAGCUAGGAAAGAAUACAGUAAAUUUGCAUCUUGACUGGGUCUCAGGAUAAAGACUAUGUCCUGUACAGGAGACUUUGAAAGAUUUUUUUUUCCCCUACCAAAAAACACAGGAUCCCCAGACUGCAAACAGAAGAGCAUAGAAUGUGCUUCUAUGAUGCCACUGCUCACCUGUUGUUCCCUACCUCAAAGCCUGAGGUCCCAAAGCAGCAACUGUUCCAAUAAAACUAAGUCAGGUUGGUCCAUAAA
Urocitellus parryii (Arctic ground squirrel) is the source of this 2336-nucleotide long non-coding RNA. RefSeq lists it as uncharacterized. The record is from RefSeq and is a predicted model, not a curated record. Lineage: Eukaryota; Metazoa; Chordata; Mammalia; Rodentia; Sciuridae.